Molecule: long non-coding RNA, 267 nt
Filed under: Elaeis guineensis (African oil palm)
Lineage: Eukaryota; Viridiplantae; Streptophyta; Magnoliopsida; Arecales; Arecaceae
Description: long non-coding RNA (EGUI_LNC062873)
Source: RNAcentral
CUCAAAGCUAACUCCAAACCUCCUGAACACUAAAGUGAGAGCCAUACCGAAAGGCAAAUGUGCCUUGGACCUAUUCAAGGUUUCUCUCAUAGCUUCAAUCAUCAAUGCCAGGAGGUUCAGAGGGGUUUGAGUAAUGACAUGAUACAUAAUGCAGAUAUCCCGGCCAGAGAGGAGAUCAUGUCUACCACUUCUAGAGAAGAAUAACUUAGUUACCAUUUGGUGUAGAAGCCUCAUCUCAAUGGAAAGGAUCUUGGCCUCUAAUUUGUU